RNAcentral lists this long non-coding RNA (2829 nucleotides) under Salvia miltiorrhiza (redroot sage). Its description in RNAcentral is "long non-coding RNA (SMIL_LNC005426)". The record is from RNAcentral. Lineage: Eukaryota; Viridiplantae; Streptophyta; Magnoliopsida; Lamiales; Lamiaceae.
GAAGAUAAAUUCCAACAAAUCCAAAUACAAACUAAAUUGGUGUCUGAAUGAAUGGACCACCAACCAAUUGGUGAUGAUAUUCCUAUGGAUGCGUAAAGAAUAAAUAAAGAAGUACCACGAAGCCCAAUAUGGAAACUUUGCACCCACAUUAGUUAUUGAAUCUUCAUCAACAAAAUGACUGCAGAGGUGACCAUGGUUAACUAAAGAAAGAUUCAUACAGGAAAUAAAAGAAAGGAGUUCCAAAUUCAAAGACAAAAAUAAGUGAUCGAUUCUCAUUCCUCGAGUUACAACCUGCUAUCUGACAGACCUCCAGCACUUUCUAGAAAAUCAGGUGCGACAGAAAGCUCGAACAGUGUUGCAGCAGUAACUCUCAGCCUUGAAAAUUGUUCGUGCUCCCAUGCAACCGAGAAUUUUAAAUAGUUUGAACAUAUAAAACCUAGAAAGUUGAAGAACAAUGAAACAAAUGAAAGAAAUAUAUUUAUUUUCAUCUUUUAAAGAUGAAAGACGAGCCUCUUGUGUCAUAUUGCUUACUGAAACAAAACAGCUUAACUCAUAAGAAAGCACAUAACAACUAAUGUUGACCCACCUCAUAAAACCCACAGUUCACAUGUGCUAUGUUAACACAGAGAAAUGCUUUUACUCUUUAUCUUCCUCGAUUCCAUGUCAAUAGUUAUACCAAAAAGACACUGUUGGUUGGUUUUUUGUUUAGGUGUUUGGCCAACCAAUGGCACUUGAAUGUACAUCUUUGCAGGAAAAAUAAGUGGGGUAAAUGAACUCAAUCUAUUUUAUCCCGAAUAGAACUUUUGUAAUGUAUUAAUGCUUCAUUAGAUAUGGAAACUUUACACCCACAUUGGUUGGAUAUAUUUUGACUUAAACCUUCAUUUAUUAAAAAUAACUAAUGUAGAGCUAAAUCAUGAUAUUAUACUCAUUAUUCAUUAAUCUACCAUGUGCUGUUGACUUUUAUUUUAAUCUCAACCACAUAGCAAAAGCAUGGAACAUAUAAGAUUGAUAUAAGCUGAUGAACUCACAAUAGAAGCAGCUUAAUAAAGCUUUACCACUGAGAGCAUGCAGAGCAAUGACUGUACGUGGUUCCUGGAUAUAGAAUUAAGUUAUUAUUAAGAAAUAUCCCAAACUUAAACCCAUAUUCAUUUUUAAUUUGCAAGAUAUAUUAUGCAGGUCAAGUCAAAGAAAAAUGAUUACAUGCCACUACCAAAAAAAUCAUGUAAAAGUGUUGGCUAAGGAGGAAAAAUCCGUACUUACAACAUCAUAAACUAUGACUGCAACAAAGGAGUCUCUUAUACUAUUAUAUUGGGAUGAGACUCCUAAAUCUCUCUUGUCCUGCAAUAUUCCUGGACAUGUUAGAAAAUAAAGGUUAUCUAUUUAGAAAACUGACAACAAAGUUGACAGAACAAAACUCAACAAUUGAAAAACAAUAGAUAAUAGUCCACAUCUGCAGCAGCAACACACUCCUGCAAUGACCAUGCUAGGUGUAUACAAUUCUUCGCAAGGUGCCAGUGUAUUGCUGCAAGCAAGAAUACAUAAAGCAAGCUCUCCUCUUAAUAAAAUGACUCACCAUAGAAACUUGAAUAAUGAACUACAACACCAUUCACAUAUUCUUAAAGAUGAAUUAUACCAACAUAAAAAUCCGCAACUUUACUGAGAAGCCAACAAAAAAAGUUAUAAUAUUACAUCUCAAAUAAUCUAAUACUAUGUCACUCAUGGAAAAUAUUAGAGUUAUAUCCACGAACUAAACAAUGAUACUAAUAUUCUAGAGAAAUGACGACUGACCAAGUAAUAUUAUACUGAUCAGUAAAUACCCAAGAGGCAAAUAAGUGCAAGGUAGGAUAUAACAAUGUAAAGAAGCAGCUUAUGCUUUCAGUUAUGUCAUGGGGCCAGAAGAUCAAACUUACUUGGUCGGAAAGAAACAUGAAACUGAAUGAACCAAACAACAAAAAUUAGAACCUCAAAGUAUGAAGAACAAACACAACCUAUUCUUUUCACCAUCAAUAGCUCAGCAAUGAGAAUCUCACCGUAAGGGAUCCGGUUGCGGCAAAAGAAAAGAAAGGUACAUUGCGUUGGCUGUAAAACACAAUGCGGUGUAAAUCAUUUUAACUAAGGAAUUUAUAGCUACAAAUCUAGGUUAUAAGUUUCCAUUUUAAAACUUCAUUCCAAAAUUUGUUCUUUCUAAAGUUCACCACAAUCAUUCUAUAUUCACAAUAGUCAAACGUGUUAAAUCAGCAAACUGGUUUAAUACUUACCAUUUAUGUGUAAGAAGAAUCACGGUGAAAAGAAAUCAUUCUAUAUUUACAAUUGUAGUGUUUCCUAAUUGAAUACUUACCAUGGCAGAGGAGGCGGCGAUAAACCAGCAUUGGAAGAGAUCGGCGGCGCCGAUAAGGAGAGGUGGCAGUCCUGGAAUGUUUUGUGAAUCCCUCGGAGGCUGGUGUCAUUGCCGGUUGUUGGCGGCGGCAAUGUUGAGAGAAGGAGUCGGUGGUGGAGAAUCCACGAGCGUCGCUGUCAGUUGUCUCCCACGGUGAGACUUCGGGUGACGAAUGCGCCCGGCGAUGAAGGCACGAUCGUUGGCAGCGGCAGUGGAGACACCGGCGAUGAAGGCACAAUCGUAGCAAGAUUUGAUUUUUAGUUUUUGAGAUAUGAAUUUUAGUUUUUCAGAGAGACCGAUGGAUGAGUGGAGAGACCGAUGAAUGAGUGAGAAAAGAAUAUAGUUUUUGAAAUAAAAAUAAAAAGAUCAAUAAAAGCCACGUAGGAUAUACAUUUUAAAGCUAGAAGCUCUAGAAUUGCACGGAUUUCAAAUACUGAAUUCUGACGAUGCCA